UAAUAUUUGUCCACAGUUUAAUUUUUAAUUUGUAUUUAUGAUUGUCCGUUUCUUCUGUAAAAGCUCAGUUUUUCUCUGCUUUGUUUUUCAGAAUUUGUUUUUUCCAUCUAUUGGCGUAUCAAGAAUACGUUUUGCUAAUGCAUAGUAAUCAGGUGGAGAUUGAGCCCUUUGAAAAUAUAUUCGACAAACAAGGGGGAGCAUUCAGAUAAUCCAAAUGAUGAGAAAAUCCAUCGCAACAGGGGGAUGCGUGGAGGCUGGGAAUUAAUAGCUUUCAUAUCACAUCAUGCCUUGCACGCAUGUCACGUGACCACCACAUUGUAACUACAAUUAUCUCAGUGUUGUUAAGUCACAAGCUCGUCUGGGUCGGUGACCUAAACAAUCACGAUAAUAAUACGACUACCCCAGUGUUGUUCAUUUCAAGGCCCGUGGGCCACUGGCGGCCCCUGGUGGCCUUUAGUGCGGCCCCCGUCGUGCGGCCCCCGACAAAACACAAAUUUUAAAACACCCCAAACGGCGUGCUGUCGAACCCAAUGGUUUCAGCUGUGUGGCGGCCCUCACACUAAUGUCUUAUCGGCGAAAGUGGGCCCCCUCCAAACAUCAAUGAUUUUGCUGGUGUACAUUGCCACAUGAUAAGCCACUUCCUUGAGCUAUCAAUUGUGGCCAGUUCGCUUCUGAAAAAUUGGCGAAUAGUUCAGUUGGCUUUCGCUGUGGCAGUGAGCGCAGCGUGAGACCAGACUUGAGGAAUGGAAUGGAGUGUGGAUUCUACAGCAGCUUCGACGCCCACACGGCACUCCCCGUUAGCACCAUCCUCCUGCUGCUGCUGCUGUGCUGAUCGAGGUGAGACAGAGAGAGGUCCUAAUUGGACCAUUCCUGUCUCGUCUCUGCUCCGAUCUGCUGCCAGAGCAGUGGGUCUUCUGAACCUUUAGUUGGGAGGCACACGAAGCCGCUAUUACAUUUCUCGCCAUGCAUUCUGGUUGCGAUGUAUUUUGAACAUCUCUUUCAACCAACGUCUACGUGCCACAGAUGCCACCGUGGUGUAACGGUCAGCCUGCUGGACUUGCAAUUCCGAGGUCACCGGUUAGAUUCCCCUGGCGAAGCAGUCGAAACAGUGGUGCGGGUUUCUUGAAUUCCCGCUGCCCCUGUCCACUCAGCAGUAUGGAUGUGUAGUGGCACAGCAGCAGUAACUGCAGGUGGACACUUAGCGCACACGCCGUUGAGCAUAUACACGGUGUGUGUGCCGACAGGGCGGAGGAACUGGGGCAAGGGUCAUAGUAGACCUCGUGGGGAGGCCCCUGGAACCCUCUGGUCGGUUCGAGAAGAAAGGCGCGGCUAGGACGGAGCCAAGCAGCGCCGAGAUGAAUAAAAGCAUUGGAGAGCGAGCGCUACGGACUGCCGAUUCUGGGAUUGGACUCGUCUCGUCGUCGCUGUCAUCUUUCUUCUUGGUUCUUUCGGUAAAGUCACGUAGAAGGGAAGUAAUAAAAUAAUAAAAAUUAAAGCGUGGACGGCUGCUUGCGUUGUGGCCGAAACGUCGUGAGAAUUAUUUUAUUAUGUUUUAUUUUUAUUAUUGUAUUACUUCCCUUCUACGUGACUUUACCGAAAGAAGCAAGAAGAUGAAUCCCUGCAGUCACGAAAGCUUUAAAUCGAAAGCUGUCAUCUUUGUCGCUGCCCGCCUUCACUCGAUAAUUGCGUGGCCGGACAGUUGUUGGUUGUCUCGGUCGACGCCGUCGGUGCAACGCCGUUAGGCUUGUGUUGAGGCUGGGUUGUACGGCAAGGGGAGCGAGAGGGAGGCGAUCCUGUGUGUGAACGCCCGAAGGGUGUUACAAUAAAAGAAGGUGCCUCUUGCAACUGCCUCGUCACCGACUUGUGCUGCACUACAAGUGGACCAGUUAGUGGAUCGGCUGGUCACGUGUGGUGGGGUUAAUUAUGGGUGUAACUCGCUUGUUUUUCCCAAAGCAUCUGGCCAGAGUGGAAGAGUAGGCCAAAAUCAGAAUCAGUAUUUAUCCUGGAGAAAUCCGAUGAGCUAAGAAGCAAUUUUUCUCAGAUGUCCAGUAGGAACAACAACAAACAAUAUGCAAAGACGGUAGGAGUAGGGCUGAACGAUUUGGGGAAAAUAUCUAAUUGCGAUUUUUCUAACAGAUAUUGCGAUUGCGAUUUGAUUUGCGAUUCAAUGUUUUUAAGUCAAGCUUCACUGUGUAAUAGAUUUAAAACAUGUGAUGGAGCAUAACCACAUUAUACCAUCAAAAUAUGAACUGCUCUAUAGAUUCUAAUGCAAGGAUUAGAACUUAAAAGAUAUGAAUUGCUUCCAGCAUGUAUUUAUUAAAAUGUUUUAAUUGAAACAGAACAAUCAAACAGAGAACAAUUGUUAAGUGAAAUAAAUAAAGUUAUAAUAAUAAAAAAUAAAACAAUUCCAAAAAGAAAGUAAUAGAAGUUUUCAAAUCGCCAAAAAAUCGUAGCCUUUGCGAUUUGCUAAUCGCAUUGUUUCAAAUGGCGAUUUCGAUUUGAAAUCGAUUCAUCGUUCAACCCUAGAUAGGAGUGCAUAGUAUCAUAAAGGCAAGCAAAUCACAAACAAACCAAAUUUUUUUCUUACUUUGCCGGGAAUAGUCCAUUGUGUUAUUCGCUUCUUUUUCAGAAGCGACCCGGCCAUAAAUGUUAGCUCAACGAAGUGGCUUAUCACAUGCGAAUUUAUAGCAGCCAAAUUAUCGAAAUAAUCUAAAAACACUCUCUAUAGGGGCUCUCUACAGCUCUCUUUAGCGGAGGUCCAUCUGCUGGCAGUGAUGUGAGCAUGGAAUUGCCACCUCGCGUUAUCACUAUACAAAACUAGGGCUUGUUCGGGGGCGCCUGUGGUGCCCCUCACAACCAUUUACGGCCUUUGGUCAGGAAAGUCACGAACAAAAUUGCACACUAACGACGCAUAUUCACGCAAGCU
This is a long non-coding RNA of Lethenteron reissneri (Far Eastern brook lamprey), 2926 nucleotides long. RefSeq lists it as uncharacterized. The record is from RefSeq and is a predicted model, not a curated record. NCBI's taxonomy places the organism in Eukaryota, Metazoa, Chordata, Hyperoartia, Petromyzontiformes, Petromyzontidae.